RNAcentral lists this ribosomal RNA (220 nucleotides) under Mesodinium pulex. RNAcentral describes it as "partial Eukaryotic large subunit ribosomal RNA". It matches the Rfam family "Eukaryotic large subunit ribosomal RNA", at positions 1891 to 2119 of the family's 3401-position model. The record is from RNAcentral. Lineage: Eukaryota; Ciliophora; Litostomatea; Cyclotrichida; Mesodiniidae.
UAGAACAAAGUAGGUAAGGUAAGUCGGCAAAAUAGAUCCGUAACCUCGGGAUAAGGAUUGGCUCUGAGGGUUGGGCCUAGGGGUCUCUUGAGUGACGGAAGUGGCGUCCAGGAUCGGACUGCGGUUUCGGCUGCGGACUGAACCAGGAAGCUCUCCUGAGGUCUUGAGAACGUCUUCGGACUUUUCCCUAGUGCGUGGAACAACCAACUCAGAACUGGAG